GGUUGUAAACCGCUUUUGUCAGGGAAGAAACGCGCCGGGCUAAUACCUCGGCGUAAUGACGGUACCUGAAGAAUAAGCACCGGCUAACUACGUGCCAGCAGCCGCGGUAAUACGUAGGGUGCAAGCGUUAAUCGGAAUUACUGGGCGUAAAGCGUGCGCAGGCGGCCAUGCAAGACAGAUGUGAAAUCCCCGGGCUUAACCUGGGAACUGCAUUUGUGACUGCAUGGCUGGAGUGCGGCAGAGGGGGAUGGAAUUCCGCGUGUAGCAGUGAAAUGCGUAGAUAUGCGGAGGAACACCGAUGGCGAAGGCAAUCCCCUGGGCCUGCACUGACGCUCAUGCACGAAAGCGUGGGGAGCAAACAGGAUUAGAUACCCUGGUAGUCCACGCCCUAAACGAUGUCAACUGGUUGUUGGACGGCUUGCUGUUCACUAACCAAGCUAACGCGUGAAGUUGACCGCCUGGGGAGUACGGCCGCAAGGUUGAAACUCGAAGGAAUUGACGGGGACCCGCACAAGCGGUGGAUGAUGUGGUUUAAUUCGAUGCAACGCGAAAAACCUUACCUACCCUUGACAUGCCAAGAACGCCGCAUAAAUGCAGCGGUGCCCGAAAUGGAACGUGGACACAAGUGCUGCAUGGCUGUCGUCAUCUCCUGUCGUGAGAUGUUGGGUUAAGUCCCGCAACGAGC
RNAcentral lists this ribosomal RNA (685 nucleotides) under uncultured Acidovorax sp. RNAcentral describes it as "bacterial SSU rRNA". It matches the Rfam family "Bacterial small subunit ribosomal RNA", at positions 421 to 1097 of the family's 1533-position model. Lineage: Bacteria; Pseudomonadati; Pseudomonadota; Betaproteobacteria; Burkholderiales; Comamonadaceae. The record is from RNAcentral.